AAAUUGAAGAGUUUGAUCAUGGCUCAGAUUGAACGCUGGCGGCAGGCCUAACACAUGCAAGUCGAGCGGUAGCACAGAGAGCUUGCUCUCGGGUGACGAGCGGCGGACGGGUGAGUAAUGUCUGGGAAACUGCCUGAUGGAGGGGGAUAACUACUGGAAACGGUAGCUAAUACCGCAUAAUGUCGCAAGACCAAAGUGGGGGACCUUCGGGCCUCAUGCCAUCAGAUGUGCCCAGAUGGGAUUAGCUUGUAGGUGGGGUAACGGCUCACCUAGGCGACGAUCCCUAGCUGGUCUGAGAGGAUGACCAGCCACACUGGAACUGAGACACGGUCCAGACUCCUACGGGAGGCAGCAGUGGGGAAUAUUGCACAAUGGGCGCAAGCCUGAUGCAGCCAUGCCGCGUGUGUGAAGAAGGCCUUCGGGUUGUAAAGCACUUUCAGCGGGGAGGAAGGCGGUGAGGUUAAUAACCUCAUCGAUUGACGUUACCCGCAGAAGAAGCACCGGCUAACUCCGUGCCAGCAGCCGCGGUAAUACGGAGGGUGCAAGCGUUAAUCGGAAUUACUGGGCGUAAAGCGCACGCAGGCGGUCUGUCAAGUCGGAUGUGAAAUCCCCGGGCUCAACCUGGGAACUGCAUUCGAAACUGGCAGGCUAGAGUCUUGUAGAGGGGGGUAGAAUUCCAGGUGUAGCGGUGAAAUGCGUAGAGAUCUGGAGGAAUACCGGUGGCGAAGGCGGCCCCCUGGACAAAGACUGACGCUCAGGUGCGAAAGCGUGGGGAGCAAACAGGAUUAGAUACCCUGGUAGUCCACGCCGUAAACGAUGUCGAUUUGGAGGUUGUGCCCUUGAGGCGUGGCUUCCGGAGCUAACGCGUUAAAUCGACCGCCUGGGGAGUACGGCCGCAAGGUUAAAACUCAAAUGAAUUGACGGGGGCCCGCACAAGCGGUGGAGCAUGUGGUUUAAUUCGAUGCAACGCGAAGAACCUUACCUGGUCUUGACAUCCACAGAACUUAGCAGAGAUGCUUUGGUGCCUUCGGGAACUGUGAGACAGGUGCUGCAUGGCUGUCGUCAGCUCGUGUUGUGAAAUGUUGGGUUAAGUCCCGCAACGAGCGCAACCCUUAUCCUUUGUUGCCAGCGGUCCGGCCGGGAACUCAAAGGAGACUGCCAGUGAUAAACUGGAGGAAGGUGGGGAUGACGUCAAGUCAUCAUGGCCCUUACGACCAGGGCUACACACGUGCUACAAUGGCAUAUACAAAGAGAAGCGACCUCGCGAGAGCAAGCGGACCUCAUAAAGUAUGUCGUAGUCCGGAUUGGAGUCUGCAACUCGACUCCAUGAAGUCGGAAUCGCUAGUAAUCGUAGAUCAGAAUGCUACGGUGAAUACGUUCCCGGGCCUUGUACACACCGCCCGUCACACCAUGGGAGUGGGUUGCAAAAGAAGUAGGUAGCUUAACCUUCGGGAGGGCGCUUACCACUUUGUGAUUCAUGACUGGGGUGAAGUCGUAACAAGGUAACCGUAGGGGAACCUGCGGUUGGAUCAGCUCCUUA
This 1540-nucleotide ribosomal RNA is filed under the name Klebsiella pneumoniae. Its description in RNAcentral is "16S ribosomal RNA". It matches the Rfam family "Bacterial small subunit ribosomal RNA". The record is from RNAcentral. Lineage: Bacteria; Pseudomonadati; Pseudomonadota; Gammaproteobacteria; Enterobacterales; Enterobacteriaceae.